CCUACGGGCGGCAGCAGUGAGGAAUAUUGGUCAAUGGACGAGAGUCUGAACCAGCCAAGUAGCGUGAAGGAUGACUGCCCUAUGGGUUGUAAACUUCUUUUAUAAAGGAAUAAAACGAGGCACGUGUGCCUUUUUGCAUGUACUUUAUGAAUAAGGAUCGGCGAACUCCGUGCCAGCAGCCGCGGUAAUACGGAGGAUCCGAGCGUUCUCCGGAUUGAUUGGGUUUAAAGGGAGCGUAGAUGGGUUGUUAAGUCAGUUUUGAAAGUUUGCGGCUCACCCGUAAAAUUGCAAUUGCUACUGGCAGUCUUGAGUACAGUUGCGGUCAGCGCACUUCGUGUUGUAGCGGU
This 347-nucleotide ribosomal RNA is filed under the name uncultured bacterium. Its description in RNAcentral is "partial 16S ribosomal RNA". It matches the Rfam family "Bacterial small subunit ribosomal RNA", at positions 338 to 682 of the family's 1533-position model. The record is from RNAcentral.